Molecule: ribosomal RNA, 862 nt
Filed under: uncultured bacterium
Lineage: Bacteria
Description: bacterial SSU rRNA
Rfam family: Bacterial small subunit ribosomal RNA
Source: RNAcentral
GAGUUUGAUCCUGGCUCAGGAUGAACGCUAGCGGUAUGCUUAACACAUGCAAGUCGUACGGAGAAGUUAUUCUUAGUGGCGGACGGGUGAGUAACACGUAAGAAUCUACCUUUAGGAAGGGGAUAACAAUUAGAGAUAAUUGCUAAUACCCUAUAUGCCGUUUGGUGAAAGAAGUAAUUCGCCUAAAGAGGAGCUUGCGUCUGAUUAGCUAGUUGGUAGGGUAAAGGCCUACCAAGGCGACGAUCAGUAGUUGGUCUGAGAGGAUGGCCAGCCACAUUGGAACUGAGACACGGUCCAGACUCCUACGGGAGGCAGCAGUGAGGAAUUUUCUGCAAUGGGCGCAAGCCUGACAGAGCAAUACCGCGUGAGGGAUGACGGCCUAUGGGUUGUAAACCUCUUUUCUCAAGGAGGAAGAUCUGACGUUACUUGAGGAAUAAGCAUCGGCUAACCCUGUGCCAGCAGCCGCGGUAAUACAGGGGAUGCAAGUGUUAUCCGGAAUUAUUGGGCGUAAAGCGUCUGCAGGUGGAUAAUUAAGUCUUAUGUCAAAUUUCUAGGCUCAACCUGGAGUCGGCAAAAGAAACUACUUAUCUCGAGUAUGGUAGAGGUAAAGGGAAUUUCAAGUGGAGCGGUGAAAUGCGUAGAUAUUUGAAAGAACUCCAAUAGCGAAGGCACUUUACUGGGCCAUUACUGACACUCAGAGACGAAAGCUAGGGGAGCAAACAGGAUUAGAUACCCUGGUAGUCCUAGCUGUAAACGAUGGAUACUAGAUGUUGCAUAUUAUAUAUACGCAGUGUCGUAGCUAACGCGUUAAGUAUCCCGCCUGGGAAGUACGCUCGCAAGGGUGAAACUCAAAGGAAUUGAC